AUAUAAUCAAUACAACAAGCUAGGGAGAAGUUCCAAUCCUUUAUAGUUUUAUAAGUUUUCACCUGUUCGAAUAAGAUAAUUACUAUUUUGUGUAUUUUGGCACAUGCUUUUUCUCAACAAUUAUGCGAGGGUAGAAUUUUCUUCUACUUUUUAUGUUUAGAGACAUGCGCAAAAGAUUUUAUUGAUUUCAACUUCGGUCAGUUGGUCUCCGACAACGGUGCGGAACACUUGUUCAUUUAUUAGCAACAACAUUGUUAUAGUGAUUAGAAAAGAGUACCAAUCUUGUAUGACUAUAAAGUCUGCUAAUGUCGUAUAGAAAUUUUCAUAAUUUUCUGAGAACCUUUAGCUACAAACGAUUCAUGGGAGGACACAAACAUACCACCAAUCGAAAGCAUGCUUGGCUUACAGCUUCUAAUAAUCAUAAAUAAUAGACUUUUUUGAGAUUUCUUAGAAAGAAUGUAAAAUGGUACUUGACACCUAAAAAACAAAUAAGAUUACUUCUUGAACAAAUAAGUGAAUAAAAACUUCGUAAUAUCUUACAAUUCUUCG
Long non-coding RNA from Polistes canadensis, 549 nucleotides. RefSeq lists it as uncharacterized. NCBI's taxonomy places the organism in Eukaryota, Metazoa, Arthropoda, Insecta, Hymenoptera, Vespidae. The transcript has 3 exons. The record is from RefSeq and is a predicted model, not a curated record.